Molecule: ribosomal RNA, 464 nt
Filed under: uncultured bacterium
Lineage: Bacteria
Description: bacterial SSU rRNA
Rfam family: Bacterial small subunit ribosomal RNA
Source: RNAcentral
CCUANGGGAGGCAGCAGUGGGGAAUAUUGGACAAUGGGCGAAAGCCUGAUCCAGCAAUACCGCGUGUGUGAAGAAGGCCUUAGGGUUGUAAAGCACUUUCAAUUGGGAGGAAAACCUGCCGGUCAAUACCCGGUAGCUUGACAUUACCUUUAGAAGAAGCACCGGCUAACUCCGUGCCAGCAGCCGCGGUAAUACGGAGGGUGCGAGCGUUAAUCGGAAUUACUGGGCGUAAAGCGUGCGUAGGCGGUUCGUUAAGUCAGAUGUGAAAGCCCUGGGCUCAACCUGGGAACUGCAUUUGAAACUGGCGGACUAGAGUUUAGUAGAGGGGAGUGGAAUUUCAGGUGUAGCGGUGAAAUGCGUAGAUAUCUGAAGGAACACCAGUGGCGAAGGCGACUCCCUGGAUCAAGACUGACACUGAGGCUCGAAAGCGUGGGGAGCAAACAGGAUUAGAUACCCCGNUANUC